GCUCAGCCCUUAACAUAGACAGUACACACACAAUACUGUUCGCCAGAGAACUACUAGUGAAAAACUAGAAACUCCAAGGACUUGGCGGUGCCCCAUACCGACCUAGAGGAGCCUGUCCUAUAAUCGAUAAUCCACGUUUUACCUUACCACCCUUUGCAAGUCAGCCUAUAUACCGCCGUCGUCAGCUUACCUUGUGAAAGAGACAGAGUAAGCAAAACAGUCAAUAACUAAAACGUCAGGUCAAUGUGUAGCAUAUAGGGUGGAAGAGAUGGGCUACACUUUCUGUCAUAGAACACACGAAUAGUACAAUGAAACACGUACUUAAAGGUGGAUUUAGUAGUAAGACAAACAAGAAAUUUUGUCUGAAACCCGCUCUGGGACGCGCACACACCGCCCGUCACCC
RNAcentral lists this ribosomal RNA (403 nucleotides) under Trachylepis albilabris (Guinea mabuya). RNAcentral describes it as "partial 12S ribosomal RNA". It matches the Rfam family "Bacterial small subunit ribosomal RNA", at positions 830 to 1402 of the family's 1533-position model. Lineage: Eukaryota; Metazoa; Chordata; Lepidosauria; Squamata; Scincidae. The record is from RNAcentral.